Molecule: ribosomal RNA, 456 nt
Filed under: uncultured bacterium
Lineage: Bacteria
Description: partial 16S ribosomal RNA
Rfam family: Bacterial small subunit ribosomal RNA
Source: RNAcentral
CUACGGGGCGCAGCAGCCGAGAAUCUUCCGCAAUGGGCGAAAGCCUGACGGAGCGACGUCGCGUGACUGAUGAAGCACUUCGGUGUGUAAAGGUCUUUUAUGAAGGAGAAAGUCUCGCUUUUAGCGGGAUUGAUGUUACUUCACGAAUAAGGGGUUGCUAAACUCGUGCCAGCAGCAGCGGUAAUACGAGUGCCCCGAGCGUUGUCCGGAAUCACUGGGCGUAAAGGGUGUGUAGGUGGUUUUGUUAGUCUUUUGUUAAAGCUCCGCGCUUAACGCGGGAAAUGCAAAAGAAACAGCAAGACUAGAGGGCGCGAGAGGUCUACGGAACCCAUGGUGUAGGGGUGAAAUCCGUUGAUAUCUUGGGGAACACCAAAAGCGAAGGCAGUAGACUGGUGCGUUCCUGACACUGAGACACGAAAGCGUGGGUAGCGAACGGGAUUAGAUACCCCGGUAGUC